ACCCUGACCUGUUCACCGGACGUGCUACCUGUCCCAGACCUGCUGUUUUCAACUCUCUAGAGACAGCAGGAGCGCUGUUCCUGCACACAUCAUUUUUUCUUGAGGCAAUGCGAAGUUUGGUAGCCAGAGUCUACGCCCCUUCGUUGGUGAUUGGUCAACAGUACUACUCCUAUGGGACGAUGGCAGUAGCCUGAACUAUUGGGACAUCUAGUGGUAUCUUUUUCCCUGCAAAAAAGAAGUGGCCUAUUUGGCCCCAAAAAAUCCAGCGAGGAACAUCUCUGAUACUGUCCUUGGAAUCUCUCAAAUCUGGAGUCCCUGGCUCCAACCAACUCGCUCGGACAGUCCAACAGGAGUGCAUCCCUCAGACCAUCCGGUUCAUGGACAUCCUGUGACAGUGUGAUCCGUUUGUGGAGACAACUGCACAUCGAGCCUGUGGAUGAACAGCUCAGUAACUCAAAUAUGAUACAAUAUUGUGUAAAACAGAAUUUGUAGAUGCAUCAACAUUUUGACUUUAUGCCCCCCCUUUUCCCCAUUGUCUCUCCCAUCCUGCAUUUACCAGAAAAAGAAGCUCCACACAACAAAGGGGCUAAGAAAUCAUUUAAACUUGACAGGUUUUUUCUCAUCUUAUUCAACUGUUACCAUGCAUCUGCAAAAAAAGAUAGCACAGAUUUGCGAGUGCCUUUUGAAUUUCAAACUUUACAGAUAUAAAUUCCCACUGUGCCCAUGAUAAAAUGCAAUUAAUAAAAAUGUGAGGAUAUGCACUCA
Molecule: long non-coding RNA, 765 nt
Organism: Salmo salar (Atlantic salmon)
Lineage: Eukaryota; Metazoa; Chordata; Actinopteri; Salmoniformes; Salmonidae
Source: RefSeq, a predicted model, not a curated record